This 390-nucleotide ribosomal RNA is filed under the name Benthosema pterotum (skinnycheek lanternfish). Its description in RNAcentral is "partial 16S ribosomal RNA". It matches the Rfam family "Bacterial large subunit ribosomal RNA", at positions 1962 to 2502 of the family's 2925-position model. The record is from RNAcentral. Lineage: Eukaryota; Metazoa; Chordata; Actinopteri; Myctophiformes; Myctophidae.
CAAUCACUUGUCUUUUAAAUGAAGACUAGUAUGAACGGCAUCACGAGGGCUUAGCUGUCUCCUCUUUAAAGUCAAUGAAAUUGAUCUCCCCGUGCAGAAGCGGGGAUACACUCGUAAGACGAGAAGACCCUAUGGAGCUUAAGACAUAAAGUUUAACCCAUGUAAAAUACCCCCUAAAGGAAGAAAACAUAUUGAACCUUACUGAUGUGUCUUCGGUUGGGGCGACCACGGGGAAAAGUAAAACCCCCAUAUGGACCAAGGCCACUACCCCUCAAAACUAGGCCCACAGGCCAAAUUAACAGUACUUCUGACCACAAAAGACCCGGCAUCUAGCCGGUUAAUGGACCCAGUUACCCUAGGGAUAACAGCGCAAUCCCCUCCCAGAGACCU